AGGCUUAACACAUGCAAGUCGAGGGGCAGCAUUUUAGUUUGCUUGCAAACUGAAGAUGGCGACCGGCGCACGGGUGAGUAAUACGUAUCCAACCUGCCGAUAACUCCGGAAUAGCCUUUCGAAAGAAAGAUUAAUACCGGAUAGCAUACGAAUAUCGCAUGAUAUUUUUAUUAAAGAAUUUCGGUUAUCGAUGGGGAUGCGUUCCAUUAGUUUGUUGGCGGGGUAACGGCCCACCAAGACAACGAUGGAUAGGGGUUCUGAGAGGAAGGUCCCCCACAUUGGAACUGAGACACGGUCCAAACUCCUACGGGAGGCAGCAGUGAGGAAUAUUGGUCAAUGGGCGAGAGCCUGAACCAGCCAAGUAGCGUGAAGGAUGAAGGCUCUAUGGGUCGUAAACUUCUUUUAUAUGGGAAUAAAGUUUUCCACGUGUGGAAUUUUGUAUGUACCAUAUGAAUAAGGAUCGGCUAACUCCGUGCCAGCAGCCGCGGUAAUACGGAGGAUCCGAGCGUUAUCCGGAUUUAUUGGGUUUAAAGGGAGCGUAGGUGGAUUGUUAAGUCAGUUGUGAAAGUUUGCGGCUCAACCGUAAAAUUGCAGUUGAAACUGGCAGUCUUGAGUACAGUAGAGGUGGGCGGAAUUCGUGGUGUAGCGGUGAAAUGCUUAGAUAUCACGAAGAACUCCGAUUGCGAAGGCAGCUCACUAGACUGUCACUGACACUGAUGCUCGAAAGUGUGGGUAUCAAACAGGAUUAGAUACCCUGGUAGUCCACACAGUAAACGAUGAAUACUCGCUGUUUGCGAUAUACAGUAAGCGGCCAAGCGAAAGCAUUAAGUAUUCCACCUGGGGAGUACGCCGGCAACGGUGAAACUCAAAGGAAUUGACGGGGGCCCGCACAAGCGGAGGAACACGUGGUUUAAUUCGAUGAUACGCGAGGAACCUUACCCGGGCUUAAAUUGCAACAGAAUAUAUUGGAAACAGUAUAGCCGUAAGGCUGUUGUGAAGGUGCUGCAUGGUUGUCGUCAGCUCGUGCCGUGAGGUGUCGGCUUAAGUGCCAUAACGAGCGCAACCCUUAUCUUUAGUUACUAACAGGUGAUGCUGAGGACUCUAGAGAGACUGCCGUCGUAAGAUGUGAGGAAGGUGGGGAUGACGUCAAAUCAGCACGGCCCUUACGUCCGGGGCUACACACGUGUUACAAUGGGGGGUACAGAAGGCGGCUACCUGGUGACAGGAUGCUAAUCCCAAAAACCUCUCUCAGUUCGGAUCGAAGUCUGCAACCCGACUUCGUGAAGCUGGAUUCGCUAGUAAUCGCGCAUCAGCCAUGGCGCGGUGAAUACGUUCCCGGGCCUUGUACACACCGCCCGUCAAGCCAUGAAAGCCGGGGGUACCUGAAGUACGUAACCGCAAGGAGCGUCCUAGGGUAAAACUGGUAAUUGGGGCUAAGUCAUAAC
Molecule: ribosomal RNA, 1445 nt
Filed under: uncultured organism
Description: SSU rRNA
Rfam family: Bacterial small subunit ribosomal RNA
Source: RNAcentral